GAAUUUGGUAAAUUUUGAACCUUUUCUUUCCCAGAAUAACUCAAAACACAUAAUAUGUUGUGUUCCACUCACAGUUGCAACAACAAAAUGAUCCCUUCUUUAACCUCAGAUUUCUCCAGCUUAAACGUUGGCUUCCCAACAUCAUCAGGAACCAAUGAGAUCAUCAAAGCAGUCUUCUUUAGCUUCGGCACCUUCACAUUCAAUAAAAAAGGUUCCAUAUCUCUCGGACAGAUAUAUUGAAGAAGAUCCCAAAACAUGGCUAUCGAAAUAAACGCGAGGAAAGUGGCAUUUGUGCCAUAUGCAUUCGCUAUAGUCGCAACGACGAUGGUGCUUCAUUGUUGCCAUCAAGAACCACAACGAGUUAAACAUCCCAAAACGCGGUUUGCGUCUAUGGGACGUGUCUACGGGCCUCUAUAUUUGUGUUAUAGCUUACUUCCAUGGAAAAUUCAGAGGUUGACAAGUAUGGAUCAGAAGCGUUUCUAGUCAAUUUGAUGGCUAUGAUCACAAUUCUCUUUGCUACUUUUGUGAUAUUCAUUGUUUCGACAAUUUGUUUAUUUAAACUUAACGCCGCAGUGAUUAAUUAGCUAAUUAAUAAUGGUCUUCAAUCUUUUCUUUUUUUUGU
This is a non-coding RNA of Camelina sativa (false flax), 622 nucleotides long. The record is from RefSeq and is a predicted model, not a curated record. NCBI's taxonomy places the organism in Eukaryota, Viridiplantae, Streptophyta, Magnoliopsida, Brassicales, Brassicaceae.